RNAcentral lists this ribosomal RNA (303 nucleotides) under uncultured bacterium. RNAcentral describes it as "partial 16S ribosomal RNA". It matches the Rfam family "Bacterial small subunit ribosomal RNA", at positions 507 to 807 of the family's 1533-position model. The record is from RNAcentral.
AGCAGUAGCCGCGGGAAUACAGAGGAUGCGAGCGUUAUCCGGAAUGAUUGGGCGUAAAGCGUCUGUAGGUGGCUUUUCAAGUCCGCCGUCAAAUCCCAGGGCUCAACCCUGGACAGGCGGUGGAAACUACCAAGCUGGAGUACGGUAGGGGCAGAGGGAAUUUCCGGUGGAGCAGUGAAAUGCGUUGAGAUCGGAAAGAACACCAACGGCGAAAGCACUCCGCUGGGCCAACACUGACACUGAGAGACGAAAGCUAGGGGAGCAAAUGGGAUUAGAUACCCGCGUAGUCCCUGUCUCUUAUAC